AGAGUUUGAUCCUGGCUCAGCCUGAACGCUGGCGGCGUGGCUAAGACAUGCAAGUCGUACGGAGGUAGCAAUACCUCAGUGGCGGACGGGUGAGUAAUGUAUCGCUAACGUGCCCCGGACUCGGGGAUAGCCAUCCGAAAGGGUGGGUAAUACCCGAUGACAUUCCCGGCAGGCAUCUGCCGGGACUCAAAGGAGUAAUCCGGACUGGGAGCGGGCGGUAUCGUAUCAGCUAGUUGGUGAGGUAACGGCUCACCAAGGCGACGACGCGUAGCCGGACUGAGAGGUUGGCCGGCCACAUUGGGACUGAGACACUGCCCAGACUCCUACGGGGGGCUGCAGUAACGAAUCUUCCGCAAUGCACGAAAGUGUGACGGAGCGACGCCGCGUGUGGGACGAAGUCCUUCGGGAUGUAAACCACUGUCAGGGGUUACCAAGUUCUGAGGAGCCCCAGAGGAAGGCACGGCUAACUCUGUGCCAGCAGCCGCGGUAAUUC
Molecule: ribosomal RNA, 493 nt
Filed under: uncultured bacterium
Lineage: Bacteria
Description: bacterial SSU rRNA
Rfam family: Bacterial small subunit ribosomal RNA
Source: RNAcentral